RNAcentral lists this non-coding RNA (46 nucleotides) under Schistosoma margrebowiei. Lineage: Eukaryota; Metazoa; Platyhelminthes; Trematoda; Strigeidida; Schistosomatidae. The record is from RNAcentral.
GCACAGCUGAGGAGUCCCAUACCAGGACGAAACGGCCGUCCAGUGC